GAUGAACGCUGGCGGCGUGCCUAAUACAUGCAAGUCGAGCGAACAGACGAGGAGCUUGCUCCUCUGACGUUAGCGGCGGACGGGUGAGUAACACGUGGAUAACCUACCUAUAAGACUGGGAUAACUUCGGGAAACCGGAGCUAAUACCGGAUAAUAUAUUGAACCGCAUGGUUCAAUAGUGAAAGACGGUUUUGCUGUCACUUAUAGAUGGAUCCGCGCCGCAUUAGCUAGUUGGUAAGGUAACGGCUUACCAAGGCAACGAUGCGUAGCCGACCUGAGAGGGUGAUCGGCCACACUGGAACUGAGACACGGUCCAGACUCCUACGGGAGGCAGCAGUAGGGAAUCUUCCGCAAUGGGCGAAAGCCUGACGGAGCAACGCCGCGUGAGUGAUGAAGGUCUUCGGAUCGUAAAACUCUGUUAUUAGGGAAGAACAAAUGUGUAAGUAACUAUGCACGUCUUGACGGUACCUAAUCAGAAAGCCACAGCUAACUACAUG
RNAcentral lists this ribosomal RNA (497 nucleotides) under uncultured bacterium. RNAcentral describes it as "partial 16S ribosomal RNA". It matches the Rfam family "Bacterial small subunit ribosomal RNA", at positions 28 to 507 of the family's 1533-position model. The record is from RNAcentral.